Molecule: long non-coding RNA, 1646 nt
Filed under: Felis catus (domestic cat)
Lineage: Eukaryota; Metazoa; Chordata; Mammalia; Carnivora; Felidae
Description: lncRNA (ENSFCAG00000042425.2)
Source: RNAcentral
GAUAUGUGAAGGUGGACGCAGGGGUUGUACUCCUGACUCUAGCAAUGUCUGGGAGUGAGCUGCAAUGUUGGGGAAGCCAUAUCCUGGAAGGUCGUCUUUCAGGGUGAUUGUCCAUGUCAGGGUAUAACUUCUGGACUGAGAAUCAGGGCCUUUAGAGUCCCUCAUUCACAUUGAAAAGGAAAUACUUCCUUCUCUUCCCUGGAGACUCAGCUUCUGUUAGUCCUUCCCACACCUGGGGUGGAGCCUGCUCUGUCUCACUGGCAUCUUGUUUUUAUCAUUUCUAAGCUCUUUUGGGGAGCACGUACAGCACCCUGGCCACCUUUCUAUUUUCAAUCCCUUACAACAGAACCACUACAUUCCAGCCACUCCAGAAAGCAUUUGUUGAAGGACUGCCUGAGAUGCCGGAAGGAAAUGCAUGUGCCUUUCUCUGUCUAGAGGUUUUGUGUCCGUUUCUAGGAGUCUUUCAAUUUUGCAUGUGACUCUUGAAUACAUCCAGUACCAAGUUGAAACCCUUUAAAGUAACACCAUGAACAAAAUAGUCUGAGGGCAACACAGCAAACCAGCCUUUCUAAGCAUUUCCCUUUGCUGCCUUCACUGUCAAUGAACUGAGUCUUCUUCAAGUACAUUGGCUCCAUGAAGUUGAUAGUUUUCCAUCUGAAAUCUGUUUCCUGGAGAUAAACCCAGACUGUGUGACAGUUCAUAUCAGGUUCUACCUCAGGUGAUGUUGCUGCUCUAAGAUUGGCCUUUUCCUCCACCAGGAUAUGUGAAGGUGGACGCAGGGGUUGUACUCCUGACUCUAGCAAUGUCUGGGAGUGAGCUGCAAUGUUGGGGAAGCCAUAUCCUGGAAGGUCGUCUUUUAGGGAAGCUGAAAAUGACACAGUGUGAACUGGCGGCAAAGAAGAAUCAGCUGGCAGCUGCAGGGAAAAUGUGAAAAUAGCCAUGAAAGAAAUAAACAAGUACAAGCAACAAAAUGAACAAAGACAAGAACAGCUGCAGCAGGCAGAACUCACCUUCAGACACCAGAUCGCAGUUCAUGAGAAUAAUGCUCAGGACAACUGGAUCAAGCCUCAGAUCUGGGAGAGGGAAAUGGCAGAGCAGAGCCGGGAGGUCGCCCGCUUGAAACACAGACUGGAUGUGAUGGAAGGAAAGAGGCUGCUUGAGGGAUACAGGAGGCGGAGAACAAUGCCUGGAAGUCCAGAGACGCAGAACCCUCCGAGGAGAGUAAGGAGCACGUGGUGAUGUGCAGCAGCCUAAUUUCUGCGGCAAAGCGUUUUCCUGUGGGUGAUCAUCGUGUGUCCUGGACAGAACCACAAUUACUACCUAAGGAUAGCAGGUGGUCUGAAGGGGUGACAGGAGGGCGUUCUCCUCUGGUGCCCCAGGCAGCGGAGCACCUGUCCCUGUGACUGGUGGAGCUCAGGCCCCUCCCCUGACUGCGGACCCUCCCACCUCCUCCAGCAUGCCCUAGCUAAAGAGAGGAUCCUGGAGGGGAUGACGGGACAUGGGCCUUAGCUUUCUUCCCACCUUGACACAAUGUGAAGACUUUAUUUUAGUUUUGUUUGAGGAGUUCAUUCCGUUACUAUUUUUAAUGUUGUCAUUUUUAUUUUAUUUUUUCUUGAACCAUAGCCCUACGUUCCUAAAUUCAGGCU